Diceros bicornis minor is the source of this 1187-nucleotide long non-coding RNA. RefSeq lists it as uncharacterized. The record is from RefSeq and is a predicted model, not a curated record. The transcript has 7 exons. Lineage: Eukaryota; Metazoa; Chordata; Mammalia; Perissodactyla; Rhinocerotidae.
GAACUUUCAGUCCCAUUCCACCCCCCACCUCCGGGGAGGGGCGAGGGACUGGAGGUUGAAUCAAUCGCCAAUGGUCAAUGAUUUAAUCAAUCAUGCUUAUGUAAUGAAGCCUCCAUAAAAACCCAAAAAGGACCGGGUUUGGAGAGCUUCCGGGUUGGUGAACACGUGGAGAUUUGGAGAGAAUAACGCACCUGGAGAGAGCAUGGAAGCUCCCUGCCCUUUCUCCAUACCCUGUCUUAUGCAUCUCUUCCAUCUGGCUGUUCCUGAGUUAUAUCCUUUUAUAAUAAACCACUAAUCUGAUCAAUUCCUGUCCAGUCCUUUAUUUUUAAUGUUUAAAGCAAAUGACAAGAUCAACUCUUGUGGUUUUCUUGGAGCUACCUGCAAACAGGCUCACCAAUAUCAGAGAAGGGGCUCUUGUGCCUAGAAAAGCUUAUCUUCAGAUAGAACUGACAACAUUCAGGCAAGAAAAAUGUCCAGGUGAUGAGAAGUUACUGAAUUGUGGAAAUGCAAAAGAAAUUAAUGAGAAACAAUCAGAAGGCAGGAAAUAAAAUCAAGAGGAGGCCUGGAAACCUGGAACAGCGGGGAACUGAAGAAAGCAAGGAGACAGAUGCCAAUAGUUACUGUCUACCCAUUACACAGUAGGCAUCAUUGCAUAUAAUCCUUCCAAGCAUCCUAUGAGACACCCUGUACAGGUCGCCAGAAUAAAUCUGAUGAGCUGUGACAGCAUCAACCAAAAGCAAAGGGCUUUGAAAGAUUGUAGGGUCAUAACAAGAGCCAAGAAAGAAAAACCUAAAUAAACAAGAGAAAAAAAGCCACACAGCUUGCUGAAUUUUCUAUCCAAGGAACUCUGGUUGCUGUGUUGACUACAGACUAUUAAGAUUAUAAAUAAAGAGACCAAUGAGGAGGCUACUGCAGUAAUCCAGAUGAUGUGAAGCGAGCACUACCACAGUGCUGAAAGGCAUGGAGCAGAAUGUCAAGAAUAUGGGCUCUGGAGUCGAACCUGCCUUCUUCCAGUCCAGCUCUGCCUCUUACUAGCAAUGUAACCCUGAGAAGAAGGCAUUUCACUUUCUCAGCCUCAGUUCCUUCAUCUAUAAAGUGGGGAAAGUAAUAUAUAUGGUGACAGAUAUUUUGAGAAUUAAGUGAAGUAGCAUACAUGUAAAUCACUCAAUAAAUGGUAUGUGUUAUUA